UCUAGCGGCGGACGGGUUAGUAACGCGUGGGAACGUGCCCUUCACUACGGAAUAGUCCCGGGAAACUGGGUUUAAUACCGUAUACGCCCUUUCGGGGGGAAAGAAUUUCGGUGAAGGAUCGGCCCGCGUCUGAUUAGAUAGUUGGUGGGGUAAUGGCCUACCAAGUCUACGAUCAGUAGCUGGUUUUAGAGGAUGAUCAGCAACACUGGGACUGAGACACGGCCCAGACUCCUACGGGAGGCAGCAGUGGGGAAUCUUGGACAAUGGGCGCAAGCCUGAUCCAGCCAUGCCGCGUGUGUGAUGAAGGCCUUAGGGUCGUAAAGCACUUUCGCCUGUGAUGAUAAUGACAGUAGCAGGUAAAGAAACCCCGGCUAACUCCGUGCCAGCAGCCGCGGUAAUACGGAGGGGGUUAGCGUUGUUCGGAAUUACUGGGCGUAAAGCGCGCGUAGGCGGACAUUUAAGUCAGAGGUGAAAUCCCGGGGCUCAACCCCGGAACGGCCUUUGAUACUGGGUGUCUUGAGUUCGAGAGAGGUGAGUGGAAUUCCGAGUGUAGAGGUGAAAUUCGUAGAUAUUCGGAGGAACACCAGUGGCGAAGGCGGCUCACUGGCUCGAUACUGACGCUGAGGUGCGAAAGUGUGGGGAGCAAACAGGAUUAGAUACCCUGGUAGUCCACACCGUAAACGAUGAAUGCCAGUCGUCG
RNAcentral lists this ribosomal RNA (700 nucleotides) under uncultured Alphaproteobacteria bacterium. RNAcentral's name for it is "bacterial SSU rRNA". It matches the Rfam family "Bacterial small subunit ribosomal RNA", at positions 91 to 825 of the family's 1533-position model. The record is from RNAcentral. Lineage: Bacteria; Pseudomonadati; Pseudomonadota; Alphaproteobacteria.